UGCCUGCCCAGUGAUCAGUAUUAAAUUGAUUAAACGGCUGCGGUACUCUGACCGUGCAAAGGUAGCAUAAUCAUUAGCCUGUUAAUUCCAGGCUGGAAUCAAUGGCAAGACGAGGAGGAAGCUGUCUCUUUCUAUUUUUUUAGAAUUUUACUUUUUGGUGAAGAGGCCAAGAUAAUGAAGUGGGACGAGAAGACCCUAUUGAGCUUUAGCUUUUUCUUAAUAGAAAAUUAAGUUAGAAGUUUUGGUUGGGGCAACUAUUUUUUUAAUUAAACAAAAGUUAAUAGACUAUGAGUUGAUUCUACAUUUGACCCAGAAUUAAUAUUCUGGUAGAAAGAAAAAGUUACCAUAGGGAUAACAGCGUAAUUCUUUUUGAGAGUACAUAUUGACAAAAGAGUUUGCGACCUCGAUGUUGGAUCAAGUUUUCCUGAAGG
RNAcentral lists this ribosomal RNA (431 nucleotides) under Astrodia abyssicola. RNAcentral describes it as "partial large subunit ribosomal RNA". It matches the Rfam family "Bacterial large subunit ribosomal RNA", at positions 1856 to 2553 of the family's 2925-position model. Lineage: Eukaryota; Metazoa; Echinodermata; Ophiuroidea; Euryalida; Asteronychidae. The record is from RNAcentral.